GCCCCUGUAGCUCAGUUGGAUAGAGCACCGGCCUCCGAAGCCGGUAGCGAGAGUUCGAGUCUCUCCAGGGGCG
RNAcentral lists this transfer RNA (73 nucleotides) under Dehalococcoidales bacterium. RNAcentral describes it as "tRNA-Arg". It matches the Rfam family "tRNA". Rfam says of the family: Transfer RNA (tRNA) molecules are approximately 80 nucleotides in length. Lineage: Bacteria; Bacillati; Chloroflexota; Dehalococcoidia; Dehalococcoidales. The record is from RNAcentral.